UACAGAGGGGGCAAGCGUUGUUCGGAAUUACUGGGCGUAAAGGGCGCGUAGGCGGCCUGCUAAGUCGAACGUGAAAUCCCCGGGCUCAACCCGGGAACUGCGUCCGAUACUGGCAGGCUUGAAUCCGGGAGAGGGAUGUGGAAUUCCAGGUGUAGCGGUGAAAUGCGUAGAUAUCUGGAGGAACACCGGUGGCGAAGGCGGCAUCCUGGACCGGUAUUGACGCUGAUGCGCGAAAGCCCGGGGAGCAAACGGG
RNAcentral lists this ribosomal RNA (253 nucleotides) under uncultured bacterium. RNAcentral's name for it is "partial 16S ribosomal RNA". It matches the Rfam family "Bacterial small subunit ribosomal RNA", at positions 524 to 776 of the family's 1533-position model. The record is from RNAcentral.